AUAUGGGGGGACCAUCCUCCAAGGCUAAAUACUCCUGACUGACCGAUAGUGAACCAGUACCGUGAGGGAAAGGCGAAAAGAACCCCGGCGAGGGGAGUGAAAAAGAACCUGAAACCGUGUACGUACAAGCAGUGGGAGCCUCUUUAUGGGGUGACUGCGUACCUUUUGUAUAAUGGGUCAGCGACUUAUAUUCUGUAGCAAGGUUAACCGAAUAGGGGAGCCGAAGGGAAACCGAGUCUUAACUGGGCGUUAAGUUGCAGGGUAUAGACCCGAAACCCGGUGAUCUAGCCAUGGGCAGGUUGAAGGUUGGGUAACACUAACUGGAGGACCGAACCGACUAAUGUUGAAAAAUUAGCGGAUGACUUGUGGCUGGGGGUGAAAGGCCAAUCAAACCGGGAGAUAGCUGGUUCUCCCCGAAAGCUAUUUAGGUAGCGCCUCGUGAAUUCAUCUCCGGGGGUAGAGCACUGUUUCGGCAAGGGGGUCAUCCCGACUUACCAACCCGAUGCAAACUGCGAAUACCGGAGAAUGUUAUCACGGGAGACACACGGCGGGUGCUAACGUCCGUCGUGAAGAGGGAAACAACCCAGACCGCCAGCUAAGGUCCCAAAGUCAUGGUUAAGUGGGAAACGAUGUGGGAAGGCCCAGACAGCCAGGAUGUUGGCUUAGAAGCAGCCAUCAUUUAAAGAAAGCGUAAUAGCUCACUGGUCGAGUCGGCCUGCGCGGAAGAUGUAACGGGGCUAAACCAUG
This 747-nucleotide ribosomal RNA is filed under the name Escherichia coli. Its description in RNAcentral is "partial 23S ribosomal RNA". It matches the Rfam family "Bacterial large subunit ribosomal RNA", at positions 442 to 1191 of the family's 2925-position model. Lineage: Bacteria; Pseudomonadati; Pseudomonadota; Gammaproteobacteria; Enterobacterales; Enterobacteriaceae. The record is from RNAcentral.